GAACACUGUUACCUUCCCACCAAAAUGGAGAUGCUCUCCAGUGUCGAGUAUGCAUGACCAGAGAUCCAUCAAAACCUUGUGAUCCACCUUUGACCUGUGAAGUCACCACUGAAACAGGAACCUGUGCUUUCGUCAAAGCCUAUAAAAAUGGAGAGUUGUUUCUGUCAGUACAAGAUUGUUGGCCAGAGAGAGGAGAAGCCUGCAAUACCAAAGAGGAUCAUACAGGAGUGGAUAUCCAGGCUGAAGUCAGUUGUUGCAAUGAUAAAGACUAUUGCAAUGAACAAACAUAGACAAGUCUAAUAGUCACCUGAAAGAGGCUCAAUGCAUCUAAAGUUCUGUGUGCCCUUCUCUCUGUAGUUACGCUCUUUCAAAUUUCUUUCCCUGCUUGUAUUAA
This is a long non-coding RNA of Sceloporus undulatus (fence lizard), 394 nucleotides long. RefSeq lists it as uncharacterized. The record is from RefSeq and is a predicted model, not a curated record. NCBI's taxonomy places the organism in Eukaryota, Metazoa, Chordata, Lepidosauria, Squamata, Phrynosomatidae. The transcript has 3 exons.